GAUGAAGAACGUAGCGAAAUGCGAUAAGUAAUGUGAAUUGCAGAAUUCAGUGAAUCAUCGAAUCUUUGAACGCACAUUGCGCCCCUUGGUAUUCCGAGGGGCAUGCCUGUUCGAGCGUCAUUAUAACCCCUCAAGCUCAGCUUGGUGUUGGGGCCUGCUGCACUGGCAGCCCUUAAAAUCAGUGGCGGCGCCAUCUGGCUCUAAGCGUAGUAAUUCUUCUCGCUAUGGAGUCCUGGUGGAUGCUUGCCAUCAACCCCCAAUUUUUCUAUGGUUGACCUCGGAUCAGGUAGGGAUACCCGCUGAACUUAAGCAUAUCAUAGCGGAGGA
RNAcentral lists this unclassified non-coding RNA (327 nucleotides) under soil metagenome. RNAcentral describes it as "partial contains 5.8S ribosomal RNA, internal transcribed spacer 2, and large subunit ribosomal RNA". The stretch from base 1 to 120 matches the Rfam family "5.8S ribosomal RNA", at positions 35 to 154 of the family's 154-position model. The record is from RNAcentral.